This 416-nucleotide ribosomal RNA is filed under the name uncultured bacterium. RNAcentral's name for it is "bacterial SSU rRNA". It matches the Rfam family "Bacterial small subunit ribosomal RNA", at positions 358 to 773 of the family's 1533-position model. The record is from RNAcentral.
GGAAUAUUGCGCAAUGGCCGAAAGGCUGACGCAGCGACGCCGCGUGUGGGAUGACGCCCUUCGGGGUGUAAACCACUGUUGCCCGGGACGCACGGCGAGUCUCGACUCGAUUGACGGUACCGGGGGAGGACGCACCGGCUAACCCCGUGCCAGCAGCCGCGGUAAUACGGAGGGUGCGAGCGUUGUCCGGAAUCACUGGGCGUAAAGGGACCGUAGGUGGCUUGGUAAGCGUGUGGUGAAAGCCCGGGGCUCAACCCCGGGUCUGCCGUGCGAACUGCCAUGGCUUGAGUACUGUAGAGGCAGGUUGAAUUCCGGGUGUAGCGGUGGAAUGCGUAGAGAUCCGGAAGAAUACCGGUGGCGAAGGCGGCCUGCUGGGCAGUUACUGACACUGAGGCGCGACAGCGUGGGGAGCAAAC